GACGAACGCUGGCGGCGUGCCUAACACAUGCAAGUCGAACGGAAAGGCCCUGCUUUUGUGGGGUGCUCGUGUGGCGAACGGGUGAGUAACACGUGUGUAACCUGCCCCUGACUUUGGGAUAACUUCUGGAAACUGGGGCUAUUACCCGAUAGGAGCUCCUGCAGCACGGUGGGGGUUGGAAAGUUUCGGCGGUUCGGGAUGGACUCGCGGCUUAUCAGCUUGUUGGUGGGGUUGUGGCUUACCUAGGCUUUGACGGGUAGCCGGCCUGAGAGGGGGAUCGGCGACCUUGGAAGGGGGACGGGGUCCAUGGUCCUACGGGAGGCACCAGUCGCGAACGGUCGGCAACGGGGGAAAGUAUUACGCAGUAAGGGCGAGCGUGUUACGACGGCCCCCGGGUCGGAAAGCCCUCCUUCGGGUUAUGAACCGCUUUCGCCUGAGACAAGGCCUGAGUGACGGUAAUGGGUCAAGAAGCACCGGCUAACUACGUG
This 488-nucleotide ribosomal RNA is filed under the name uncultured bacterium. Its description in RNAcentral is "partial 16S ribosomal RNA". It matches the Rfam family "Bacterial small subunit ribosomal RNA", at positions 28 to 507 of the family's 1533-position model. The record is from RNAcentral.